This is a non-coding RNA of Callithrix jacchus (white-tufted-ear marmoset), 4870 nucleotides long. NCBI's taxonomy places the organism in Eukaryota, Metazoa, Chordata, Mammalia, Primates, Cebidae. The record is from RefSeq and is a predicted model, not a curated record.
CCUUGUCUCCAUAACUCACACUGGAGCACAGUGGUGCUAUCAUGGUUUAUUACAGCCUUGACCUCCCAAACUCAAGCAGUUCUCCCACCUGAGCCUCCUGAGUAGCUGGGACCACAGGUGUGUGCCACCACGCGUGGCUAAUUUUUUAAGUGGAGGAAAAAGGAGAGGUGGAAUGAAUAGAGUCAAGAGGACAAAGACAGGGAGACAUGGAGAAUGAGGACUCCUCCCAGGGCAGAACAGGCGUGCAGCCCCCCAGCCUCCCUGCUCCCCUGCACCCACAAUCUCAUGAAGGGGACAGGACUCACCUUCGACAAAGCCAGUCAUCCGAAGUCAGGGCUGAGGGGCACUUCUGGCCUUUCAUCUUCACCACGAGGGAUGCCUCGGAGCUGAGGGACCAGGGACAGCACUGCUCGAAGCACACGCCAAAGGUGCAGUUUCCACACCCCUGGGUCCUGCCCAAGGGCACGAUGGCAUCGUCAUAGCAACAGUGCUGCAGGGCAUCAUAGAACUUGUCCCCACAUCUCAUGUGCCACUAGCACAGCAUCAGGUAAGCACUCAUGGGGGCCACUGGAGGAGACAGAGCUGGUGAGGUCCAGAUGGGCGUGGCAGGUGGGUCCCAGCCUGGGUUCCCCUGGGAGCCACACUCCGCCCCCAGCUUCCUAGUCCCUCCUGGGCUCAUCUGAGGCUCUGUGUGAGCAGAGGAGCCUGAGGAUAUACAGAGAGACCAAGACAGCUGUGGGAGAGGGAAGGGGAGGAGGGGUGAUCGGGAAGCCAUGGGGCAUCCUUGGAAGCCCAGGAUGGGGAAGGGUGGCUCCUAGGGUGUCUCUGCCCUGAGUGAGGCUCUGGGAAAAGCUAGAAGCCGACCUUGCCCUGCCCUCCUGCAGAGACAUGCUGGGCCCUGGGGUGAGAGAAGUGCUAGACAGGUUAUGUGUCAUAGUGGAUUUGAUGCCAUCUUCAUUGAGAGCCAGAAGAGGACUGAUGCUCCCUGCACCCUCUGUGUCUCUCUCUUCUCCAAAAUGGAGGCUUCUUUGGCAAACAGGAAAUUGCAGGAUGGUCCAGGGGUCGUCCUCACCCUCCCACACCCACACAUCCACAGUCUUACAUCCCACCCUGUGAGUCUUUAGCUGAGACACAGACCAAAGGUUGCUCCAUGAUCUGGUCCCUUUCUAGAUGUGAAUCAGUGCAAGGGCCCAGGCCAGCAGAAGUGUGAGGCCAUCCUUUGAUGCGGGAGCCAAAUGGUGUCCAGACCCAGCGGGAGCUGAGAAUUCAGGAAAAUCUCCCCAGUCAGCUCCACAGGGGCCCACAGUGUCAGCUCAAGUGUCUCCCAGAUCUUCGAAGAUAUGGCUAGAGAAAAAUACAAAAGCACACUGACUUGUAGUGAGAUGCUUCUGGGCAUUUGGGGCCUCGCCGAUCUCCUCUCAUAGGUUACAUCCCCCACACCUUCACCACCGGGUCCAGCUGCUCUUCACCAGUUCUUCAGUGUCCUGUCUCUUUGCUUCUUGGAUCCUGCACUUCAGCACAGCAUAAGGGACACCCCACAACCCUGUGGGGCCAACAGCCCUACAUCUGGUGCCCAACUUGUGGGUUCCUUAUUGCUGUGUCUCAGCCUAGCUGUUGGAGUUUCUUCAAUGAACAAAUUCAGCUCAGGAACCCUGGGUGUCUGGUAAGAAAGGUGGUUUUAUUCCUUGUGAUGCUCACAGAUAUCUUGGGGUAACCAUGGGACAAGCCGGCUCCAAGCAUGCCUCCUAUCUUUCUUAAAACUCUUCUAAGACAUGGGGGAGUGUCCGUGCCUUCAGACAAGCUUGUUCAGCUCUUUGAAUUAGUAGAACCUUUAUGCCUGUGGUUUCCAGCUGAUGGAUCUCUGGAAUUAAAGGACUGGAAUAAUACAGGUAGUCUACUUAAAAUAGCUAGAAAGGUGGGGAAUGCAGCAGCUCCCUUGGCUCUAGCAACUUGGGCCGCUGUUCGAAUGGUGCUUGAAACUUUGCCAUCAGAUGACUUUAUUAUGGAUGAUUUUCCUUUACUUUCUGCAUAAGAAGUUGAAGAGGUCUUAACCAGCCUCUCUGACACUCCAUCACCUUAACCUGCUACUCAGCCUGACACUACUACCUCUCCCACCUCUCCCAUUGCUGCCACUCAGUUGCCUCCACCCGUUUCUGAUCUUAUUACUGAACUACAACCCCCUAUUUAUUCUGCUGCUUCUCCUAUGACUUCUUUGGCGCCUAUAACGGUUGUAGCUGUUCCCAAUAAUGUGACGUAUCAACAACCGAGAAAGUCGGGUCCCCAGGAACAAAACUCGGUCCAAAAGGACACCCACAGGUAUGAGGAAAUGCAUUUGCACUCUCCUGUCUCUCCUUCUACCCCUCCUUUUCCACCUACCGGCCCGGGCCAGAACGUCCCCCAAAACUCUCCUUUUCCACCUGCUGGCACAGACCAGAGCGCCCCCAAAACCUGUCACGGUGCGGAAUUGAGCACCCUCAAAUGUCAUGGUGCAGAGUUGAGCACCCCCAAAUGCUGUCAUGGUGCAGAGUUGAGCACCCCCAGAUGUCAGGGUGUGGCGUUGAGCGCCCCCAGAUGCUAUCAUGGUGCUGAGAUGAUCGCCCCUAAAAGCUGUCAUGACACAGAGAUGUGCACCCCCACUGGCUCCCUCAGCAUUAAUCCAGGCACCCCCAAUAUUUCUUCUAACUCUUCUCAUACUGUGCAGUCCUGCUCUGUUUCUCAAGUCACUACAGGGGAUCCUAUUAAAACUACACAGGCUUAUCCGGUUAUAGUUCACCCCCCAUUACAGGGAAAUAAUAGAAUGCCAGCAGUCAAUAAUAAACCUGCCCCCCAUUCCCCCCUCCACCACUUCCUAAUGCUGAUGUGCCUGCCGCUAACGGGGGUGGGGGGGAACCAGCCUCAGCCAGAAGUGCCCGUACAAUCUACCCCAUUCCACAGCCCCCAGGCGCUGCUCUGCCGGCUCAGCCUCAGGUCCCACUGGAACAGCGGCUGCCGGCUUUCGCAGUCAUCCUUAAACCUGACCCUUUAAUCCUAAUCAAAGCUUAGCACAUCCUGUUACUUGGCAAAUCUUUAUGCUUCCUUUUCUUAAGGACUUUGAAAAAUCUGUUCAGCAAUAUGAAACGAAUUCCCCUGUUGUCCGUGCUUCCGUAAAAUCUAUUGCAAAAGGGCAACGGCUGAUUCCUAACGACUGGGAAACGCUUCCGGAGUCAGGAUUCUCUCACUCCCAAAAUUUACAGUUUAAAUGGCAAAUGCUUCCUGACUUCUGAGCAGUUAACAGAGUCAUUCAGCCCAUGGAAACUUUACAACCAGGCCUCCCUCCCCACUUGAUGAUAUGAAAAUCCUGGCCUUUACUUACUAUUGACUUAAAGGAUUGCUUUUCGACAUUCCUCUGGCGUCGCAGGACUGUCAUAAAUUUGCCUUCACAGUCACAACCAGAUGAGGUGUUUGCGGAGAGCAAAUAGGGUAUGGAAUGGAUAGUGAAAGACAUUUUUUUUUGGGUGGAGUUUUGCUAUGUUGCUCAGGCUGGUCUUGAAUUGAACUCAACUGAGCCUCCCACCUCAGCACCUGAGUAGCUGGAAUUGAAUGUGCCACUGUGUCUGGCUUGAAGAAAUUUUUAAAUGCCAGCUUUAGCCUCAAGGCCAGUUACUGAAACAAGGACUAAGUUAGACUUUUAUAUAAUAUUCCUCACUUUGAUGUGAACAUAUUUCCUUUUUCUUUUUCGGACAUGGUCUCAGUCUGUCACAUAGACUGGAGUGCAGUGGCACAAUCUCAGCUCACCACAACCUUUACCUUCCAGGCACAAGUGAUCCUCCUGCCUCAGCCUCCCGAGUAGCUGGGAUUACAGGCACGCACCACCAUGCCCAGCUAAUUUUUUGUAUUUUUAGUAGAGACGGAGUCUCACCAUGUUGACCAGGAUGCUCUCAAUCUCUUGACCUCGUGAUCCACCCGCCUCGGCCUCCCAAAAUGCUGGGAUUAUAGGCAUGAGCCACCACGCCCGGCCAAUAUUUUCUAUAUUAACUGAUUCCUUUGCUGCUUGUCUCAGUGCCUUCAUACCCCUCUAUGUAAUAUUAGUUUAUAUUGGUUGAUCCUUGGUGUUUACAGUAUGAAAUGGUAAGAGAGGCUGUUAAUCAUCUGGGAGAUGGACAAUGCAUUUUCAAAUCUCUCUUCUGUAGAGAAGAUUAAAGGUCUUUGGGUCAUAAAACUAAUAGUUGCAUCACAUUAGGUGGAAAAUAGUAUUGCUGCCAGCUUUAUUUGGAAGUUGAAAAUGUCUACAAUGAGUGUCAAUAGAUGCUUAUUUUUGAAUGGGGUGGACUGUGCUAGAACUUCUAUUGUCAACUUGUCCCCAGAACUCUCCCUUCUGGGCCCCAUAUUUAAAAUCACUUGAAUAUGGGGCCAGUGAUUUUCCAGAUCAGGUGGGCCAGGUGCAGUGGCUCACACCUGUAAUCCCCGCACUUUGAGGCUAAGGCAGGUGAAUCACCUGAGGUCAGGAGCUUGAGACCAGCCUGACCAAGAUGGCAAAACGCUGUCUCUACUAAAAAUACAAAAAUUACCUGGACGUGGUUGUGGGUGCCUGGAAUCCCAGCUACUUGGGAGGCUGAGGCAGGAGCAUUGCUUGAACCCAGGAGGCAAAAAUGGAGGUUGCAGUGAGCCAAGAUUGUCCUAUUGCACUCCAGCCUGGGUGAUAAAGCAAGACUUCAUCCCAAAUAUAUAUAUAUAUACACACACACACACACACACACACACACAUAUAUAUAUAUACACACACAUACAUACAUAUAUAUACACACAUAUAUUUAUAUAUAUAUACAUAUUUACAUAUACACAUAUAUAUUUAUACAUAUACUAUAUAUACACACACAUAUAUAUAUAUAUA